Molecule: ribosomal RNA, 1422 nt
Filed under: Salmonella enterica subsp. enterica serovar Typhimurium
Lineage: Bacteria; Pseudomonadati; Pseudomonadota; Gammaproteobacteria; Enterobacterales; Enterobacteriaceae
Description: partial 23S ribosomal RNA
Rfam family: Bacterial large subunit ribosomal RNA
Source: RNAcentral
GGGUUGUGAGGUUAAGCGACUAAGCGUACACGGUGGAUGCCCUGGCAGUCAGAGGCGAUGAAGGGCGUGCUAAUCUGCGAUAAGCGCCGGUAAGGUGAUAUGAACCGUUAUAACCGGCGAUACCCGAAUGGGGAAACCCAGUGUGAUUCGUCACACUAUCAUUAACUGAAUCCAUAGGUUAAUGAGGCGAACCGGGGGAACUGAAACAUCUAAGUACCCCGAGGAAAAGAAAUCAACCGAGAUUCCCCCAGUAGCGGCGAGCGAACGGGGAGGAGCCCAGAGCCUGAAUCAGCAUGUGUGUUAGUGGAAGCGUCUGGAAAGGCGCGCGAUACAGGGUGACAGCCCCGUACACAAAAGCGCAUGUGCUGUGAGCUCGAUGAGUAGGGCGGGACACGUGGUAUCCUGUCUGAAUAUGGGGGGACCAUCCUCCAAGGCUAAAUACUCCUGACUGACCGAUAGUGAACCAGUACCGUGAGGGAAAGGCGAAAAGAACCCCGGCGAGGGGAGUGAAAAAGAACCUGAAACCGUGUACGUACAAGCAGUGGGAGCACCCUUCGGGGUGUGACUGCGUACCUUUUGUAUAAUGGGUCAGCGACUUAUAUUCUGUAGCAAGGUUAACCGUAUAGGGGAGCCGGAGGGAAACCGAGUCUUAAUUGGGCGUUAAGUUGCAGGGUAUAGACCCGAAACCCGGUGAUCUAGCCAUGGGCAGGUUGAAGGUUGGGUAACACUAACUGGAGGACCGAACCGACUAAUGUUGAAAAAUUAGCGGAUGACCUGUGGCUGGGGGUGAAAGGCCAAUCAAACCGGGAGAUAGCUGGUUCUCCCCGAAAGCUAUUUAGGUAGCGCCUCGUGAAUUCAUCUCCGGGGGUAGAGCACUGUUUCGGCUAGGGGGCCAUCCCGGCUUACCAACCCGAUGCAAACUGCGAAUACCGGAGAAUGUUAUCACGGGAGACACACGGCGGGUGCUAACGUCCGUCGUGAAGAGGGAAACAACCCAGACCGCCAGCUAAGGUCCCAAAGUCAUGGUUAAGUGGGAAACGAUGUGGGAAGGCCCAGACAGCCAGGAUGUUGGCUUAGAAGCAGCCAUCAUUUAAAGAAAGCGUAAUAGCUCACUGGUCGAGUCGGCCUGCGCGGAAGAUGUAACGGGGCUAAACCAUGCACCGAAGCUGCGGCAGCGAACGUAUCACCCAAGACAACUUUACGGAGUUGACGAUUGACGGAGCGAAGCGACGUCAAAGCGUUCAUUAAAGUCGAGUUGGCUUAGGGAUACGUUCGUUGGGUAGGGGAGCGUUCUGUAAGCCUGUGAAGGUGUGUCGUGAGGCAUGCUGGAGGUAUCAGAAGUGCGAAUGCUGACAUAAGUAACGAUAAAGCGGGUGAAAAGCCCGCUCGCCGGAAGACCAAGGGUUCCUGUCCAACGUUAAU